GAAAUGCGAUAAGUAAUGUGAAUUGCAGAAUUCAGUGAAUCAUCGAAUCUUUGAACGCACCUUGCGCUCCUUGGUAUUCCUUGGAGCAUGCCUGUUUGAGUAUCAUGAAAUCUUCAAAGUAAAUCUUUUGUUAACUCAAUUGGUUUCUACUUUGGUAUUGCAGGUCUUUGCAGCUUCACACCUGCUCCUCUUUGUUCAUUAGCUGGAUCUCAGUGUUAUGCUUGGUUCCACUCGGCGUGAUAAGUUAUCUAUCGCUGAGGACACUGUAAAAGGUGGCCAAGGUAAAUGCAGAUGAACCGCUUCUAAUAGUCCAUUGACUUGGACAAUACUUUUAUGAUCUGAUCUCAAAUCAGGUAGGACUACCCGCUGAACUUAAGC
RNAcentral lists this unclassified non-coding RNA (378 nucleotides) under plant metagenome. RNAcentral describes it as "partial contains 5.8S ribosomal RNA, internal transcribed spacer 2, and large subunit ribosomal RNA". The stretch from base 1 to 105 matches the Rfam family "5.8S ribosomal RNA", at positions 50 to 154 of the family's 154-position model. The record is from RNAcentral.